GAUGAACGCUGGCGGCGUGCCUAAUACAUGCAAGUCGAGCGAACAGACGAGGAGCUUGCUCCUUUGACGUUAGCGGCGGACGGGUGAGUAACACGUGGAUAACCUACCUAUAAGACUGGGAUAACUUCGGGAAACCGGAGCUAAUACCGGAUAACAUGUUGAACCGCAUGGUUCAACAGUGAAAGACGGUUUUGCUGUCACUUAUAGAUGGAUCCGCGCCGCAUUAGCUAGUUGGUAAGGUAACGGCUUACCAAGGCAACGAUGCGUAGCCGACCUGAGAGGGUGAUCGGCCACACUGGAACUGAGACACGGUCCAGACUCCUACGGGAGGCAGCAGUAGGGAAUCUUCUGCAAUGGGCGAAAGCCUGACGGAGCAACGCCGCGUGAGUGAAGAAGGUCUUCGGAUCGUAAAACUCUGCUAUUAGGGAAGAACAAAUGUGUAAGUAACUAUGCACGUCUUGACGGUACCUAAUCAGAAAGCCACGGCUAACUACGUG
Molecule: ribosomal RNA, 497 nt
Filed under: uncultured bacterium
Lineage: Bacteria
Description: partial 16S ribosomal RNA
Rfam family: Bacterial small subunit ribosomal RNA
Source: RNAcentral